Molecule: ribosomal RNA, 406 nt
Filed under: uncultured bacterium
Lineage: Bacteria
Description: partial 16S ribosomal RNA
Rfam family: Bacterial small subunit ribosomal RNA
Source: RNAcentral
AUUGAACGCUGGCGGCAGGCCUAACACAUGCAAGUCGGACGAGAGGCGGACGGGUGAGUAAUGUAUGGGGCACUGCCUGAUGGAGGGGGAUAACUACUGGAAACGGUAGCUAAUACCGCAUACCAUCAGAUGAACCCAUAUGGGAUUAGCUUGUAGGUGGGGUAACGGCUCACCUAGGCGACGAGCCCUAGCUGGUCUGAGAGGAUGAUCAGCCACCCUGGAACUGGGACACGGCCCAGACUCCUGCGGGAGGCAGCAGUGGGGAAUAUUGCACAAUGGGCGCAAGCCUGAUGCAGCCAUGCCGCGUGUAUGAAGAAGGCCUUCGGGUUGUAAAGUACUUUCAGUCGGGAGGCGUUACCUGCAGAAGAAGCACCGGCUAACUCCGUGCCAGCAGCCGCGGUAAUAC